Molecule: ribosomal RNA, 394 nt
Filed under: uncultured bacterium
Lineage: Bacteria
Description: bacterial SSU rRNA
Rfam family: Bacterial small subunit ribosomal RNA
Source: RNAcentral
AACGAACGCUGGCGGCGCGUCUUAAGCAUGCAAGUCGAACGGCAAGAUUAGUGCUUGCACUGAUCCUAGAGUGGCGGACUGGUGAGUAACACGUGGGUGGACAUACCCUUCCAGUUGGGGAGUAGCUAUUAGAAAUAAGUAGAUAAUACCGAAUACGACCGUAGUUGUUAGAGGACUACGAGGAAAGUAGCUAAGGCUAUGCUGAAGGAUUGGCCGCGGCCCAUUAGCUAGUUGGUGUGGUAAAGGCAUACCAAGGCGAUGAUGGGUAUCCGGCCUGAGAGGGUGAUCGGACACAUUGGGACUGAGAUACGGCCCAGACUCCUACGGGAGGCAGCAGCUAAGAAUAUUCCGCAAUGGACGAAAGUACUGACGGAGCGACGCCGCGUGAACGAAG